Molecule: ribosomal RNA, 464 nt
Filed under: uncultured bacterium
Lineage: Bacteria
Description: partial 16S ribosomal RNA
Rfam family: Bacterial small subunit ribosomal RNA
Source: RNAcentral
CUACGGGCCGCAGCAGUGAGGAAUUUUGCGCAAUGGGGGAAACCCUGACGCAGCAACGCCGCGUGAGCGAAGAAGGCCCUCGGGUCGUAAAGCUCUGUCAAGUGGGAAAAAAAUCUUUUGAUCAAUAGUCAAAAGACUUGAUGGUACCACUGGAGGAAGCACCGGCUAACUCCGUGCCAGCAGCCGCGGUAAUACGGAGGGUGCAAGCGUUGUUCGGAUUUACUGGGCGUAAAGAGCGUGUAGGCGGUUUAGCAAGUCAGAUGUGAAAGCCCCGGGCUCAACCCGGGAAGUGCAUUUGAAACUGCUUCACUAGAGUAUGGGAGAGGAGAUUGGAAUUCCUGGUGUAGAGGUGAAAUUCGUAGAUAUCAGGAGGAACACCCGUGGCGAAGGCGAUUCUCUGGACCAAUACUGACGCUGAGACGCGAAAGCGUGGGGAGCAAACAGGAUUAGAUACCCGCGUAGUC